This 84-nucleotide transfer RNA is filed under the name Rhabdochlamydiaceae bacterium. Its description in RNAcentral is "tRNA-Leu". It matches the Rfam family "tRNA". From Rfam's summary of the family: Transfer RNA (tRNA) molecules are approximately 80 nucleotides in length. Their secondary structure includes four short double-helical elements and three loops (D, anti-codon, and T loops). Lineage: Bacteria; Pseudomonadati; Chlamydiota; Chlamydiia; Parachlamydiales; Candidatus Rhabdochlamydiaceae. RNAcentral also lists the same sequence under 1 other name. The record is from RNAcentral.
GCUCGGAUGGUGGAAUGGUAGACACUGGGGACUUAAAAUCCCCUCCGUUAAUAGCGGGUGCAGGUUCGACUCCUGUUCCGAGCA